AAGCUCCUGCCACUGCAGCACCUGCCACUGAAGCUCCUGCCACAGCAGCACCUACUUCUGCGUCAGAUAUAGUUUUUAACGUGACUUUCAGAUCUCUUCUCACCCCUAUUACAACUGAUUUGCUGGAUACAUCAUCCCCGGCUCUUCAGAGCCGAUCUUCAAUGAUAACGACACAGCUUGAACCUCUGUUUAAAAAUACAUUCCAAUCCUCAUUCAAGUCUUUGACCGUCACUGCCUUCAGUAAUGGAUCAAUCAUCAAUCAUAUGACCCUUACAUUUAUUAGCACAUUUGUUCCUAAUGACACUCAGAUUGCAGAAGUUUUGUUUAAUGCAUCAUCAACUGUAGUUGGCUUUGACAUUGAAGGAACCUCUGUCACCAUCAAUGGCAUAUCUUCUAGCGGAAUAAGCCACAAGUUCAGUCUUCUCACUGCAUUUUGUCUGGUAUCCUUGUCAUGGCUACUGUCAAACCAGAAAGAGCAUCAGCAUUGAUUGCACUCUGAAUUUCGGUUACAACAUGAAUACCAUUACCGGUAUGUCAAUUGUGUGUGUGUGUGUGGGGGGGGGACUGAUCUGUUAUCAACUUUGCCCUGAUAGGACACAGUUAUGACAGUGGAUUAGGUAUGUCUGUUGAAAAAAUAUAUAUAAUAACACCGUCUCUAAAGCUCUGGGAUCUUGGAAAAUGAUUGCAUUGUCUCUCAAAAUGACAUGUACUUUAGUCAACUGAUGGAAUUCUUUCUUGGGGGCAGUCCAAAUUAAGUAGCUGGUAUGUGAUCUGUGGAUGUUUGUAGCUUGUAGCAUUGCUCUGAGCGGCAUGAGACUCAUGUCCAACCGUUCUACUCUUAAAUGUAAAAAUGGACAAACGUCAAAACUCAAGAUACCUGUGAUGAAGCUCACUGCUGUUGCAUAUUUUAAUUUUGCUGAUAAUUGUUUGCAUUGUACAUGCACAUAGUUACUGUAAACACAGAAAAGCAUAGAACUUAAUUUGAUAGAUUGGCCCAUUGUCAUAAAUAACCAGUCUAUCUGUUUGAGUCUGUAUCCGGCAGAUAU
Molecule: long non-coding RNA, 1046 nt
Organism: Labrus mixtus (cuckoo wrasse)
Lineage: Eukaryota; Metazoa; Chordata; Actinopteri; Labriformes; Labridae
Exons: 4
Source: RefSeq, a predicted model, not a curated record